GAUGAACGCUGGCGGCGUGCUUAACACAUGCAAGUCGAACGAGCCUUCGGGUUAGUGGCGGACGGGUGAGUAACGCGUGAGAAUCUGCCCUCAGGAGGGGGAUAACGGCUGGAAACGGCCGCUAAUACCCCAUAUGCCGAGAGGUGAAAUGAAUUUCGCCUGAGGAUGAGCUCGCGUCUGAUUAGCUAGUUGGUGUGGUAAAGGCUCACCAAGGCUUCGAUCAGUAGCUGGUCUGAGAGGAUGAUCAGCCACACUGGGACUGAGACACGGCCCAGACUCCUACGGGAGGCAGCAGUGGGGAAUUUUCCGCAAUGGGCGCAAGCCUGACGGAGCAACGCCGCGUGAGGGAUGAAGGCCUCUGGGCUGUAAACCUCUUUUCUCAAGGAAGAAGAUCUGACGGUACUUGAGGAAUAAGCCACGGCUAAUUCCGUGCCAGCAGCCGCGGUAAUACGGGAGUGGCAAGCGUUAUCCGGAAUUAUUGGGCGUAAAGCGUCCGCAGGCGGCCUUGAAAGUCUGUCGUUAAAGCGUGGAGCUUAACUCCAUUUCGGCGGUGGAAACUACAAGGCUUGAGUGUGGUAGGGGCAGAGGGAAUUCCCGGUGUAGCGGUGAAAUGCGUAGAUAUCGGGAAGAACACCAGUGGCGAAGGCGCUCUGCUGGGCCAUAACUGACGCUCAUGGACGAAAGCCAGGGGAGCGAAAGGGAUUAGAUACCCCUGUAGUCCUGGCCGUAAACGAUGAACACUAGGUGUCGGGGGAAUCGACCCCCUCGGUGUCGUAGCUAACGCGUUAAGUGUUCCGCCUGGGGAGUACGCACGCAAGUGUGAAACUCAAAGGAAUUGACGGGGGCCCGCACAAGCGGUGGAGUAUGUGGUUUAAUUCGAUGCAACGCGAAGAACCUUACCAGGGUUUGACAUCCUGCGAAUCCCUUGGAAACUAGGGAGUGCCUUCGGGAGCGCAGAGACAGGUGGUGCAUGGCUGUCGUCAGCUCGUGUCGUGAGAUGUUGGGUUAAGUCCCGCAACGAGCGCAACCCACGUCUUUAGUUGCCAGCAUUUAGUUGGGCACUCUAGAGAGACCGCCGGUGAUAAACCGGAGGAAGGUGUGGAUGACGUCAAGUCAUCAUGCCCCUUACAUCCUGGGCUACACACGUACUACAAUGCUACGGACAAAGGGUUGCAAACUCGCGAGAGCUAGCUAAUCCCAUAAACCGUGGCUCAGUUCAGAUCGUAGGCUGCAACUCGCCUACGUGAAGGAGGAAUCGCUAGUAAUCGCAGGUCAGCAUACUGCGGUGAAUACGUUCCCGGGCCUUGUACACACCGCCCGUCACACCAUGGAAGUUGGCCACGCCCGAAGUCGUUACUCCAACCCGUAAGGGAGGAGGAUGCCGAAGGUGGGGCUGAUGACUGGGGUG
This 1408-nucleotide ribosomal RNA is filed under the name uncultured bacterium. RNAcentral describes it as "bacterial SSU rRNA". It matches the Rfam family "Bacterial small subunit ribosomal RNA". The record is from RNAcentral.